CAUAAUGUGUAUGUAUUAUUAGUAAUUACCUUGCCUAAAAUGAAAUUUAGUAGCAAGUUUGUGUUACAUGCAUUUUAAGUAUUGUAUUGAAGGGUAUAGGACUGCUGUAAUAUAUUACUGUCAAUGUAAACUUUGCAAAUUUGUAGAUUUAUUAACUUAUUCUAGUGCCCAAAGGACUAGGAUGCCGAGGCAUGCAUAUUUUAUUGACUAUUAAGUUCAGCUCAUCAUAUGCUGUGGAAAUAUAUUAAUGUGUUUCCACUGUGGAAAUGUAACUCAUGGUUCAUGCUCAAUAUCGUUUCAGGUUCGAGAUAUUUUCUAACUUUUUUGAUGAAUUUGAUUCCAUUACCCCUAAAAGAUGACAUGACAACACUAGAGUAAUUGAUCGAGUUGUCAACCAAGUUAGUAUCUUUUUGCUUGCUGCAUUUUAUUAUUUUGCCUUAACUUUUGAUGUCUUUCUCAUUGUUAUUUUGCUUUCAAACAAUUCCUAACUGAAUUAGAUGGUUUUGAAGUUUUGAUCGGUGUAUUUGUGUUUGUUGCAACAAGGUUAGUUCUCAUGGAAUCCUAUUGUAUUAUUUUGAUAGUAUCUAUCCUUAAUCUUCGGUUAAUCCCCACAAUUUUGAGUUUGGUUCGUUAUUAUCUUCACGUGAUCAAUUUUGACAUGAGAUGCAUACCCAAAUAAGAUAGCUUUUCAAGUAGCACAAAAUUUUUAAAAGAUAAUACGUUUCUUGAUUACAAGGUUUUCCAUAAAUAUAUGAAUUUCUUAUUUCAUGGUUUUCCUUAUGAGUUGCAUGGCUUUAAAAUUGACUUAAAUUCUUCUCAUAAGCAGUAGACCAGAUCUGCUUGAUGCUGUAUUGCUGAGACCAGGUAGGCUUGAUCGCCUCCUUUUUUGUUUCAUCAUAGAAACCGAAUGUAUAAAACUCUUCUUCAGGUCUUGCUUCCUAGAAUUACAUGAUUUUAACCACAUAUAUUAGCUUUGUUACCAGUAUUAAGUGGUCAGUGUUGGAUUUUGAUGUACAUCUGUCAUUGAUUUACUCAAAAUUUUAAAAAUUUUCAUAUAUUUGGAGGAACAACGUGUAUAUUUGUGUCCAAAUAUGUAUAGAACAUAAAUGAACAGUCCAAGCAACAUAGUAUAGCAUAAUGUGAUUUGCUAUAUAUAUAUCGAACUAGAAACUACCUUGAUUGAAUGUUUUAGUGUUGCUUGCCUUUGUAAUACUUUGUUUUUGCACAUAUAAUGUAGUUUCCAUUGGCCAGUGAUGUUGAUUUGGACGCCAUAGCAUAUAUGAUAGAAGGAUUUAGCGGAGCUGAUCUCCAAGCUCUUCUCUUAGAUGCACAGCUCGCUGCGGUUCAUGAACAUUUGAGCAGCGCGAAUAGCAAUGAGCCUGGCAAAAUGUUGGUCAUAACUGAUACUGUUCUGAAGUCUAUUGCUUCCAAGGCAAGAUAGUCAGUUUUAGAAGCUGAAAAACAGAGACUAUAUAGAAUCUACAGUCAGUUUCUGGAUUCAAAGUGAUCUACCUCCGCAUAGGUAUUUGUCCCUUGCAUACUAAAUUCCCUUAUAUUUGCAGCUUCUCAUGUUAGCCACUCUCUUAACUCAAUAAAAUUGAAAAUUUUCAUGCUGUUGAGGGAUGCAAAAGGCAAGAGGGCAACUCAAGUUCGAGAUAUUUUCUUUAAAGCAGCUGCUUCUACACCUUGCCUCCUCUUUUUUUGAUGAAUUUGAUUCCAUGGAACUUAAAGAAACAAGACUUCUAAUUGGUGGGAAAAGGACAUUGAAUUGGAGGUAUCUUCCGCAUGGCGUAGUUGAAUGGUUGAAUGACAACAACACAAGGAUACAUAUCGCGCAUAAAUGGCAAAACUCGAUGAUGUGCAUAACAAAUUUUCCUUAUAGAUUUCUUUUAAACCUUUUCGUUCACAUUUUCCUGUAACCAAUCCCUUUCUUUACACGAAUCAGAAUAUGUAACAUAGAAUUUGUUUUUUUGUGUUUCUUGUUAUCUCCUUGAUUCAGACAGUAAUGACGAAGAAAAGUAAAAUUUAAGGUUGUUCA
Molecule: long non-coding RNA, 2038 nt
Organism: Gossypium raimondii (Peruvian cotton)
Lineage: Eukaryota; Viridiplantae; Streptophyta; Magnoliopsida; Malvales; Malvaceae
Exons: 2
Source: RefSeq, a predicted model, not a curated record